Molecule: long non-coding RNA, 813 nt
Filed under: Marmota monax (woodchuck)
Lineage: Eukaryota; Metazoa; Chordata; Mammalia; Rodentia; Sciuridae
Source: RNAcentral
GCAUCCAAUAGACACUAUAGAGCAUUUGUUGGAAUGAAUAAAUGAAUGGAUAGUAUGCUUUAGUUUCCCAUCUCUAAAUUAACAUACUCCAUGAAACAGGCUUAUGGUUUGCCAAACUCUUAUAUGGCCACAACAAACCAUUAUUACCUUCUCAAUUUCUUCUGCUGGUACACCCCGAAGCCGGGCAUAAAGGUAGAGGUGUUCUCGGCCCGUGAGCAGGUCAUCGACUGCAUCAAACUGAGGACAGUAGCCCAUAUUUUGAUGGACUUCAGAAAUAUUGGUUAAAAUACUGCAAGAAGAAACAGCAAUUGGUGAGUUUCCUUCAUAGAGAGAAUGACUAGAGAUCUGGGCUGGAAAGCUUCUCCCAGGGGGAUAAGUAGGCUGACUCUUCUCCUUCCUGCUUUGCUUUAGCAAUGCACACCAAAUGCACACAUUUGGAAAUCAAAGCAGGGACCUAGCAAAGAGGCAAACAUGUGAGAGGUCAUCCGUUGUCCUGUCCCAUAGAGGCAGGAAGUCUGUUUAAAAUUGCAGAAGGCAGCAUUUACCCUCUGGAAGCUGAGGACACAGACCAGUUUUUCCUUUAUACUCUUUGGUGUGGCAAAGCCAAGCAUCAGCACACAGUCAUUGCAGACCUAGGGCUCCCAAGAGUCCUUUAACAAGUCCCUAUCUAGAAACAACCUAGAGAAAGGACACUUCAUCAUGGUAAUUCUGAACUUGGGAUCCAGGGGCUCCAGCAGGGUUAUGAACAUGCUUCAGGGUUCAGUAAAUUCCCUGAAACUUUUUGCAAAAAUGUGUGGAGAGAGGUCAUGGGAG